RNAcentral lists this ribosomal RNA (450 nucleotides) under uncultured Glomus. Its description in RNAcentral is "SSU rRNA". It matches the Rfam family "Eukaryotic small subunit ribosomal RNA", at positions 569 to 1024 of the family's 1831-position model. Lineage: Eukaryota; Fungi; Glomeromycota; Glomeromycetes; Glomerales; Glomeraceae. The record is from RNAcentral. RNAcentral also lists the same sequence under 1 other name.
AGCAGCCGCGGUAAUUCCAGCUCCAAUAGCGUAUAUUAAAGUUGUUGCAGUUAAAAAGCUCGUAGUUGAAUUUCGGGAUCAGAUUGUCGGUCGUGCCUCGGUACGCACUGGCAUUAUUGGUUCCUACCUUCUGAAGAACCGCGAUGUCAUUAAUUUGGUGUCGUGGGGAAUCAGGACUGUUACUUUGAAAAAAUUAGAGUGUUUAAAGCAGGCGCACGCUUGAAUACAUUAGCAUGGAAUAAUGAAAUAGGACGUUUGAUUCUAUUUUGUUGGUUUCUAGGAUCGACGUAAUGAUUAAUAGGGAUAGUUGGGGGCAUUAGUAUUCAAUUGUCAGAGGUGAAAUUCUUGGAUUUAUUGAAGACUAACUACUGCGAAAGCAUUUGCCAAGGAUGUUUUCAUUAAUCAAGAACGAAAGUUAGGGGAUCGAAGACGAUCAGAUACCGUCGUAGU